This 879-nucleotide ribosomal RNA is filed under the name marine metagenome. RNAcentral's name for it is "bacterial SSU rRNA". It matches the Rfam family "Bacterial small subunit ribosomal RNA", at positions 455 to 1333 of the family's 1533-position model. The record is from RNAcentral.
CUAAUACCCAAUGACCGUGACAUUACCUUCAGAAUAAGGACCGGCUAAUUCCGUGCCAGCAGCCGCGGUAAUACGGAAGGUCCAAGCGUUAAUCGGAAUUACUGGGCGUAAAGCGCGCGUAGGUGGUUUAUUAAGUUGGAUGUGAAAUCCCCGGGCUCAACCUGGGAACUGCAUCCAAAACUGAUUCACUAGAGUACGAUAGAGGGAGGUAGAAUUCACAGUGUAGCGGUGGAAUGCGUAGAUAUUGUGAAGAAUACCAAUGGCGAAGGCAGCCUCCUGGAUCUGUACUGACACUGAGGUGCGAAAGCGUGGGUAGCGAACAGGAUUAGAUACCCUGGUAGUCCACGCCGUAAACGAUGUCAACUAGCUGUUGGGGAACUAUGUUCUUCAGUGGCGCAGCUAACGUAGUAAGUUGACCGCCUGGGGAGUACGGCCGCAAGGCUAAAACUCAAAUGAAUUGACGGGGACCCGCACAAGCGGUGGAGCAUGUGGUUUAAUUCGAUGCAACGCGAAAAACCUUACCUAUACUUGACAUACUUGGAAUGCUUUGUAAUGAAGCAGUGCCUUCGGGAGCCAGGAUACAGGUGCUGCAUGGCUGUCGUCAGCUCGUGUCGUGAGAUGUUCCGUUAAGUCGGAUAACGAGCGCAACCCUUACCCUUAUUUGCCAGCGAUUCGGUCGGGAACUAUAAGGGGACUGCCGGUGAUAAACCGGAGGAAGGUGAGGACGACGUCAAGUCAUCAUGGCCCUUACGUAUAGGGCUACACACGUGCUACAAUGGAGAAUACAGACGGACGCUAAGCCGCGAGGUGGUGCCAAUCCUAGAAAAUUCUUCGUAGUCCGGAUUGGAGUCUGCAACUCGACUCCAUGAAGUCGGAAUC